Molecule: ribosomal RNA, 301 nt
Filed under: uncultured bacterium
Lineage: Bacteria
Description: partial 16S ribosomal RNA
Rfam family: Bacterial small subunit ribosomal RNA
Source: RNAcentral
CAGCAGCCACGGUAAUACGUAGGUGGCGAGCGUUGUCCGGAAUUAUUGGGCGUAAAGCGCGCGCAGGCGGAUAGGUCAGUCUGUCUUAAAAGUUCGGGGCUUAACCCCGUGAUGGGAUGGAAACUGCCAAUCUAGAGUAUCGGAGAGGAAAGUGGAAUUCCUAGUGUAGCGGUGAAAUGCGUAGAUAUUGGGAAGAACACCGGUGGCGAAGGCGGCGACCUGGUCCAUAACUGACGCUGAGGCGCGAAAGCGUGGGGAGCAAACAGGAUUAGAUACCCCAGUAGUCCCUGUCUCUUAUACA